CUACGGUGGAGUUUCAAGGAUUACCUCCCCCUUUCGGGUUCGGAACCCAUUGUCUCCACCAUUGCAGCCCGCGUGCGGCCCGGGGGAUUCGGGGCAUGCUGACCUGCCGUUGCCCCCUCCCUCCUCCACCUUAGCGGUGGCGGUCCCCCUAGUGUGCCCGCUUGCGCGGUGGCAACUAGGGGUGAGGGUCUCGCUCGUUCCUGGACUUAACCAGACACCUCACGGCACGAGCUGGCGACGGCCAUGCGCCACCUCUCAGCGCGUCGGGCAAAGUCAUCAGCUUGGCCCUCAUCCUGCUGUCGCCCCCGGUAAAGUUCCCGGCGCUGACUCCAAUUGAGCCGCAGGCUUCACCCCUUGUGGUGCUCCCCCGCCAAUUCCUUUAAGUUUCAGUCUUGCGACCGUACUCCCCAAGCGGCGGAUUUAACGGCUUCCCUGAGGCACCGAUACGGCCCGAAGCCGUACCGGCACCCAAUCCGCAUCGUUUACAGCUGGGACUACCCGGGUAUCUAAUCCGGUUCGCUCCCCCAGCUUUCGCCCCUCACCGUCGGACGCGUCCUAGCCAGGCGCCUUCGCCACUGGUCGUCCUCCCGGGAUUAUAGGAUUUCGCCCCUACCCCCGGAGUACCCCUGGCCUCUUCCGCUCCCUAGCCCGGCAGUAUCCCAUGCGGCCCAACGGUUGAGCCGUUGGAUUUAGCACAGGACUUACCGGACCGGCUACGAGCGCUUUAGGCUCAAUAAUCGUCCCGACCACUCGCGGAGCUGGUAUUACCGCGGCGGCUGACACCAGUCUUGCCCCCCGCUUAUUCCCCCAGGUUUUUACUCUGGGGAAAAGCCAGCCUUAGCGGCUGGCACUCGGGAUAGCCCAGUCACGGUUUCCCGCAUUGCUAAGGUUUCUCGCCUGGUGCGCCCCGUAGGGCCUGGGCCCUUGUCUCAGGAUCCAUCUCCGGGCUCCUCCUCUCAGAGCCCGCACCGGUCAUAGGCUUGGUGGGCCUUUACCCCGCCAACUACCUGAUCGGGCGCAACCCCAUCCUAAGGCGACUAUUUCAGCAUGCUGAAAUGAUCUUUUUAACCUUGGCGCCUUCCAGCCUCCGAGGUUUAUGGGAUAUUAGCCCCAGUUUCCCGGGAUUAUCCCCCUCCUUAGGGUAGGUUAGCUGCGUACUACUGAGCCGUGCGCCGCGCUCUCCACAGCUAGAGAACGCUCGACUUGCAUGGCUUAGCCCCACCCCAAUACCGGUCGGG
Molecule: ribosomal RNA, 1238 nt
Filed under: uncultured archaeon
Lineage: Archaea
Description: partial 16S ribosomal RNA
Source: RNAcentral